Non-coding RNA from Drosophila melanogaster (fruit fly), 252 nucleotides. The record is from Ensembl. Lineage: Eukaryota; Metazoa; Arthropoda; Insecta; Diptera; Drosophilidae.
GUAUAUUAUUUCGCACCAAGGACAUAUUGUUGUUUAAAGAAAAUAAAUACGUCUUUCGUUUCUACAUUUGCCAUCAUAUUUUAUUGAGAUACCAUUUACUCAGUUAGUAGUGUGCAAAUUUCAUUAAUUUUAAGAACAUUUUUUAAAAUUGUUUAAAAGUGGGAAUGUUUUGGGCGUUUUGCUGGUGUAAAGAGGGACGUGGCAAAAGUGUUUUUGAUACAGAUGGAAAUUGACAAGACACACAAUAAAACG